UUCCCUCAAUAAAGGGUCCUUUGAAAGCUCAUAUUUCAAAAUGGCAAUAUUUUUCUCAUCAUGAAAUUGUGACAUGUGUAAUGUCUUGUUGCACAUUACCUGGUAAGGGUGGCCAUCUCCCUGAAGUUAGUAUUACUUUUUUUUUUGUUUACACUUCACACCACUUGAGGCCCACAGUAGGGUUUUGUGAGAGAAGCUGGAGAUAAAUGGCUCUGUACUUCACCAUCAUGGACCUUGAAUAAACUGUUGUGGAAGUCGUUUUGGAGACAAAUUAGGACAAGCAUCUCAGGGAAUCCGUGGCCCAGAAAUACGGAGAAGAAGGUUUGGACAUGCAGUGACUGUCACUGACAAAUCAGAAUUAUUGCCCAUAUAGUCAAACUUACAAAUAAGCAUUAUAUCUGGGAUGAAUUUCAAUUGCCAGUUGGAUUUCUUUCACCUAGUUUGGUUGAUCUUUCUAGGUUUUCAUUGUAAAUUUUAUUUCCUACAUUAUGUGAUGGGCUGACCCUGGUUGGGUGUCAAGUGCCCACCAAAGCUGCUCCAUCACACAUUAUUUUCAUGGGUGAAACAGACUCAGUUUGGGGAAAUUAACAGUAUUUCUUAACAGGAAAAUAAGAAUAGGAUAAUGAGAAGUAAAACCAAAUCUUAAAAAAGUCCCCACCUUAUCCCUACCCCUCCCUCCUUUACAGGCUUAACUUUGUUCCCAGGCUCUCUAUCUCCUCCAGCAGUGCCAAGGGAUGGGAAUGGGAGUUGCAGUCAGUUCAUCACUGCUGCUGCUUCCUUCGCAGGGGAAGGAUUCUUCACAGCCUUCCCCUGAUCCAGAAUGGGGUCUAUCCCCCAGAAGACAAUCCUCCAUUAACUUCUCCCAGAGAGCUGAGGAGACCAAGUAAUAGUCCAGGAGAAGACAAUUUUAUGACUAUGAAGGACACAUAGUUGUCAAGUAUAUUUCUACUCCAAAUCCAGCUGCAUGUCCACUUGUUGUAACAAAUCAGCAGAACUGAUGAACUACGGAGAAAAGGAACCAAGGAGAAAGUGGCAUAUAUGAGUAGAAGCAGUUUUAGAGGCACAGAUUUGUUUAGGCUGCUCGAUGAAUGCAUGAGUUGCUCAA
RNAcentral lists this long non-coding RNA (1105 nucleotides) under Taeniopygia guttata (zebra finch). RNAcentral describes it as "lncRNA (ENSTGUG00000025108.1)". Lineage: Eukaryota; Metazoa; Chordata; Aves; Passeriformes; Estrildidae. The record is from RNAcentral.